AGCUCAUUAUCUCUAACGAACACAUACUUACUGAUGAUAAGAACGACCUGCGUUGCUCUGAUAUCACACACACACACACACUCACACACACACACACACACACACACACAGUCAGUAGUCGACUGAUCGCCUGUAUGAUGGCUGGAAGCCUCCGUUUCCUCCUCCUGUCACUCUGUGUUUUGUUGGAACCUGUGACAGAAAUCGGUGGUUUGCUUCUGAAACCAGUUCUGUCUGGACCCAGUGAGGCCUAUGUGAGAUCAGAAGUCCAGUUUGACUGUGCAGUUCCAGGCUGGUCUUCACCUCUGACCUAUGAACUCUGGAAGGAUGCAGGGGACAUUAUUGCAGCAGAAAACAACGUCAAGGUCACCUUCACCCUACAGGUCACCGAGGGGUCAGAGGGCGAGUACUACUGCAGACUGACUGCCGGAGGUCAGACCAGCAACUCCAUCCACUUCCAUGCAGUGAUUCCUGUCGUAGGGGCCCGUCUGAG
RNAcentral lists this long non-coding RNA (490 nucleotides) under Sinocyclocheilus grahami. RNAcentral's name for it is "lncRNA (ENSSGRG00000006937.1)". The record is from RNAcentral. Lineage: Eukaryota; Metazoa; Chordata; Actinopteri; Cypriniformes; Cyprinidae.